UUGAUUUUGUUGUGGUCGUAGGCACAAAACAUUUUUCCCAAUACAUGAAAAUAUAGGUGGGAGGUUAUGACAUGUCCUUCAUUAUUCUACCAUUAUCAGGUCUUAAGCAGUUUCACGAAGUAAUUUGUCACUUUGUGGAGGUCACCAAAGAUAAGAUUGAAGGUAUGACAGGUGCUAAAUGUUUGGACAGUUGACCCUCCGAGAUAAGGAUCGAUUCUUUCUAGAAAAUGGAAUUUCUGAUCUUUCUAGUAAUUUGAAUCUGGCUACUUCAAGUAGCUGUCUGAAUCGUUGGGUGCAAUAGUUCAGGUGAU
Molecule: long non-coding RNA, 311 nt
Organism: Arabidopsis thaliana (thale cress)
Lineage: Eukaryota; Viridiplantae; Streptophyta; Magnoliopsida; Brassicales; Brassicaceae
Product: other RNA
Exons: 1
Source: RefSeq